This is a long non-coding RNA of Drosophila miranda, 1056 nucleotides long. RefSeq lists it as uncharacterized. The transcript has 2 exons. NCBI's taxonomy places the organism in Eukaryota, Metazoa, Arthropoda, Insecta, Diptera, Drosophilidae. The record is from RefSeq and is a predicted model, not a curated record.
UUUUGUGUUUUUGGCGGCAAAGCGUUUACCAAGUAAUAAAACACAAUAUAAUAUUUUUAACAAUGGCUCAAGUGUUAUGCAGCUCCAAACCGCAAAUUUUUUUAGUUGGUGAUAUAAAUCAUCAAAUUGUUGGCGAAAACUUCCGUCGAAUCGCCAAGUGCUUGCGGUUCUGUUCUACAAUACGCGUGAAGUAAAAAUGACAACAAAUGAAAGUGCUAAUCUGGCGCUUCGCGAAUGCAUUAUCUUUUGGGAAAAAGCAAGAAUACCCACAAAAUCUUUGCCUAACUGUGUAAAGAAGCUACUAUGCUUACAUCAAGCUUGGAGAGACCUUCAAAAAGAUGCUAAAAAAGUAUCAGAGAUCCCGUCGAGAGAAUUUUGUUCAAACUUUGGACAAUUUGUUUGAUAUUGCCCAUUCCGAAGCAAUGGAAAUAAUGGAAAUGGAAAGUUCCUCGGCUGUGAAAGCACCGUAUCAGGAUUUAUGUUUUUUAAAAUCCUUGAACGAAUAUGAAACUAUUGAUGAAGCUAUUGCAAAAGCAGCUUUAAAGAAAUUUUGUCAUCAUUUAUGGUAUCUACAUGAUGAAAUAUCGGUACUCUCACUUUUUGAUGAAGACGUUACAUUUGAUGUAAAGGAAAGAAUGGUCACAAAUUUGACUAAACAAAAUAGAACCAGCUUAGAAAAACGAUAUGUACCAUCGAUGGAAGAUCUUAACGGUGCACUUUUUGACAAACAUAUGGACGAUUUUAUAUCUAUAAAAGUAGGACAUCAUUUGAUCGCCUUAAAAUUUAUGACAGACCACAGUCUGUCCCUUCAUCAUGGAACAGUAACCCAUCUUACUUAAAAAGCAAGAAGAGUCUUUCAUUACCUAAGGCAGUAAAUGAUACAGCAGAAAGAGCUGUGAAAUUGAUGCAAAACUUUCACGGGCGUCUAACAGUGGAUGAGGAACAAAAACAGUUUUUGUUACGUUGCGUUCAGGAACAUAGAAAAAUGUACCCGGAUUGUAAAAAGGAGACUUUAAAAAGAAAAUAUUCCCAAUAAAAUGUUAGAACUGAUUUAAA